UACAGAGGUCUCAAGCGUUGUUCGGAUUCAUUGGGCGUAAAGGGUGUGUAGGUGGCGCCGUAAGUCGGGUGUGAAAUUUCGAGGCUUAACCUCGAAACUGCAUUCGAUACUGCGGUGCUUGAGGACUGGAGAGGAGACUGGAAUUCAUGGUGUAGCAGUGAAAUGCGUAGAUAUCAUGAGGAAGACCGGUGGCGAAGGCGGAUCUCUGGACAGUUCCUGACACUGAGGCACGAAGGCUAGGGGAGCAAACGGG
Molecule: ribosomal RNA, 253 nt
Filed under: uncultured bacterium
Lineage: Bacteria
Description: partial 16S ribosomal RNA
Rfam family: Bacterial small subunit ribosomal RNA
Source: RNAcentral